This 460-nucleotide ribosomal RNA is filed under the name uncultured bacterium. RNAcentral describes it as "partial 16S ribosomal RNA". It matches the Rfam family "Bacterial small subunit ribosomal RNA", at positions 338 to 795 of the family's 1533-position model. The record is from RNAcentral.
CCUACGGGAGGCAGCAGUGAGGAAUAUUGGUCAAUGGACGAGAGUCUGAACCAGCCAAGUAGCGUGAAGGAUGACUGCCCUAUGGGUUGUAAACUUCUUUUAUAUGGGAAUAAAAUGUUCCACGUGUGGGCUUUUGUAUGUACCAUAUGAAUAAGGAUCGGCUAACUCCGUGCCAGCAGCCGCGGUAAUACGGAGGGUCCGAGCGUUAUCCGGAUUUAUUGGGUUUAAAGGGAGCGUAGGUGGAUUGUUAAGUCAGUUGUGAAAGUUUGCGGCUCAACUGUAAAAUUGCAGUUGAAACUGGCAGUCUUGAGUGCAGUAGAGGUGGGCGGAAUUCGUGGUGUAGCGGUGAAAUGCUUAGAUAUCACGAAGAACUCCGAUUGCGAAGGCAGCUCACUGGACUGCAACUGACACUGAGGCUCGAAAGUGUGGGUAUCAAACAGGAUUAGAUACCCUUGUAGUC